AUAUUUUAUUAAAUAAAAUGCUUUUCAUGUUUACAAACAAAUUUAAAAUGAAAACCUGAAACGUCUUAAGUCAGUAAGUAUUCAACCCCUUUGUUAUGGCAACGAGAGCCUGUAGUCAGAUGCGUCUGUGAAACAGGUGGCCAGGUGUCCGUUAACAGGCUGGAAACAGGUGGCCAGGUGUCCGUUAACAGGCUGGAAACAGGUGGCCAGGUGACCAGGUGUCCCGUUAACAGGCUGGAAACAGGUGACCAGGUGUCCCGUUAACAGGCUGGAAACAGGCUGGAAACAGGUGACCAGGUGUCCGUUAACAGGCUGGAAACAGGUGGCCAGGUGUCCGUUAACAGGCUGGAAACAGGUGACCAGGUGUCCGUUAACAGGCUGGAAACAGGUGGCCAGGUGUCCGUUAACAGGCUGGAAACAGGUGACCAGGUGUCCGUUAACAGGUGGCCAGGUAUCCGUUAACAGGCUGGAAACAGGUGACCAGGUGUCCGUUAACAGACUGGAAACAGGUGGCCAGGUGUCCAUUAACAGACUGGAAACAGGUGGCCAGGUGUCCAUUAACAGACUGGAAACAGGUGGCCAGGUGUCCCGUUAACAGGCUGGAAACAGGUGACCAGGUGACCAGGUGUCCGUUAACAGGCUGGAAACAGGUGACCAGGUGUCCCG
Long non-coding RNA from Oncorhynchus keta (chum salmon), 666 nucleotides. RefSeq lists it as uncharacterized. NCBI's taxonomy places the organism in Eukaryota, Metazoa, Chordata, Actinopteri, Salmoniformes, Salmonidae. The record is from RefSeq and is a predicted model, not a curated record. The transcript is spliced from 3 exons.